Molecule: long non-coding RNA, 1020 nt
Organism: Cryptomeria japonica (Japanese cedar)
Lineage: Eukaryota; Viridiplantae; Streptophyta; Pinopsida; Cupressales; Cupressaceae
Exons: 2
Source: RefSeq, a predicted model, not a curated record
AAAUAUCAUAUUGAAGGCUUUCGAGCCUUCUGUCCUAUGUGGUGUUUCCAAACUUGUCGUACCCAUCCCUAAGAUGGGUUGAAAGACUCGUAGCAUUUUGAAGUUUUACGCAUCAAUCUGGGAAGAUUAAGGACUGACGCAGCAUAUUGAAGUGGUCCACGUUGACAGCUAGCAAAGAUUAUAUGCAAUACGAAGUCUAAGAGAAGGCGAUUCAAUUAAUUCAAACUUUAUGGUCGAACACUAGGCGUGAGAAUAUAAAUCAGUCACAAAAAGGGCAUUUGGACUCCUACUGCUGGUCGCCUAUCCCCUAGCAACCAACCUGUGGAGUUUAAAGCUGGGGGCUGAGUUUACUUGUUGGGCCAUUGAUACUUGCUGAGAGAAAGGAUCGAGUUGCUUGAGGUAGAGAUAUCCCUGCUGAAGGAUGACGAAAGACCAAGUGAUGGGCCUAAGAUUUGGCCUUGGCCGGGAGUGGAAUUCACAUUGCUGAGUUUGAAAGAAAAGUGGACAGUUUUGAGGAGCAUAACUAGGCGCCAUUACGUUGGAUGCAACAGUAACUAUAUGUAUUGACAAUCAUUUACUAUGCCCUUGGUUUCAUGUAAAGGCUCUCUCUUCAAAGGAGCACGAUUCUUGGAUGGAGGCCAUAUAAGAGGAGGUAAUAGCCUUGAAGAAAUGUGAAAACUGGGAUCUUGUCAAUUUACCCAAAGGAAGAAAGCCCAUAGGUUGCAAGUUAGUGUACAAAUAGAAACUCAAGCAAAUUAUUAGAGAGGUACAAAGCCAAGCCAGUGGUUAAGGCCAAUCCCUAGAUUGAGGGAAUUGAUUUUGCUGGAUUUUUUUAACUUAUUGCUAGAUUAUCUUCCAUUAAAUUCCUAUAAUCUAUUGUUGCAUCUUGUGAUUUUGAGAUUGAGCAAAUGGAUGUUAAAACUGCUUCUUGCAAGGGGAUCUUGAAGAGGAAUUUAUAUGUGUUAGCCACAUGGAUUUGAGGUAACAGAGAUAAAAUGAUCUUUGUAUGGUUUGAAACAA